AUUUAAACAUUACCAAAAUUGAUUUCCAAGGUUGAAAAGCAUAUCCCCAAGUGAUUUUGAAAAUGUCCAAAUGUUUUUAACCAUUCUAGAUUUGUUUCAAGGAUUUGUGAUCCACAAGUUAUAGUCACCCAGCAAUUAAUGUGGUGAUUUUGCAAUAACUUGAUGAAAUUAAACCAACCCAUACGAGGAGACGAAGAAAGGUAGGUACCUGGUCGAAAAUGGCGGUGGGAAUUGCCAAGGUAACCAUGGCAUUAGGCGUAUCAACAAUCCCAGAGAUUCUUCCUUCACAUGGGCAGCACGAUAGCAGCAGAUAAGCCUGAAUUUCACACAUCUUAUUUUCAAUAAUCGUAUUACACAGCCAUUGUUAUUUAGUUUUUUUGCUCGUGUAAGGUGUUUGUGAAUUUGCUUGUGUGAGUUCUCGUACUACCAAUGGCAAUCGAAGAAAGUCACCAUACCUGCUCCUUUGAGUACCCAAAUUUGUGAAGGUAGUCAAUGGCGUUGAGCACAGCGCGCUUGUAAGCUACAGUGGCAUCAAGAAAAUGCUGCCUCCCACUUUCAUCAACGCUGAUGCCUUCAAAAACCAACCACUCUGAGAAUCUUGGUUCAACUGGACCUAUCUCAAAAAUUGGGUUCACGUGCAGAGGAGUCGGCCCCAUUGGUGUCAGG
This is a long non-coding RNA of Cucumis sativus (cucumber), 666 nucleotides long. RefSeq lists it as uncharacterized. NCBI's taxonomy places the organism in Eukaryota, Viridiplantae, Streptophyta, Magnoliopsida, Cucurbitales, Cucurbitaceae. The transcript has 2 exons. The record is from RefSeq and is a predicted model, not a curated record.